This 428-nucleotide ribosomal RNA is filed under the name uncultured Mycoplasma sp. Its description in RNAcentral is "bacterial SSU rRNA". It matches the Rfam family "Bacterial small subunit ribosomal RNA", at positions 353 to 772 of the family's 1533-position model. Lineage: Bacteria; Bacillati; Mycoplasmatota; Mollicutes; Mycoplasmatales; Mycoplasmataceae. The record is from RNAcentral.
AGUAGGGAAUUUUCCACAAUGGGCGCAAGCCUGAUGGAGCAAUCCUGCGUGAAUGAUGAAGGUCCUACAAGAUCGUAAAGUUCUUUUAUUUGAGACGAACAGCUAAAAUAGGAAAUGAUUUUAGUUUGACUGUAUCAAUUGAAUAAGUAUCGGCUAACUAUGUGCCAGCAGCCGCGGUAAUACAUAGGAUGCAAGCGUUAUCCGGAUUUACUGGGCGUAAAGCGAGCGCAGGCGGAUUUGUAAGUUUGGUGUUAAAGGCAAUUGCUUAACAAUUGUUUGCAUUGAAAACUGCAAGUCUAGAGUGUAGUAGGGAGUUUUGGAACUCCAUGUGGAGCGGUGGAAUGCGUAGAUAUAUGGAAGAACACCAGUGGCGAAGGCGAAAACUUUGACUACAACUGACGCUUAGGCUCGAAAGUGUGGGGAGCAAA